Molecule: long non-coding RNA, 2252 nt
Organism: Meleagris gallopavo (turkey)
Lineage: Eukaryota; Metazoa; Chordata; Aves; Galliformes; Phasianidae
Source: RefSeq, a predicted model, not a curated record
AAAGCGGAGAAGUCGGUGCCCAGAGGCGGGGAGAGGGACGUGAGGACACAGGGCGGAGGGAACGACUUUGUCUGCCUGGGAUGGAAACUGCACAAUGAAAUGCAAAGAGUUCAGCUCCCCCAGACCUUCGCCACAUCUUGGAUACAAGGAACCGUAAAACUUGGCAGAAGAUAAACAGAAAAUGCUUUAAAUUCAAUCUGAAUUGCUUUAACAUCAUCUCCUUUUCCCCAGUAAUUUUUGCAAGGCCAAAACUGCUUUAGACUUCUUGCCUGGAACUGUUUAGUGUUGAUGAUGAUCAUUUUUUUCAAAGUAGAUUUCAACACAGGUGCUGGCAGGAAUUUUUCAUUCUUUUUAUCUUGCCUCCUAUGAUGGGGAAAUUACCCUCCUGCUGUGAAGUUACGACAGGGUAGUUAACCAUUACAAAAAGAGCAAUUUCAGGUCUCCUACGAGUGCUUCUUAGAAUCACAGAAUCACAGAAGGGCUGUGUUGAAAAGGACCUCAAAGAUCAUCAAGUCAGGCGAAGAAACGGAUAACAGCUUCUGGCACACCUUUGCAAAUAAGACUAAUUAAAUGUAUAAAUUUUUACUUCUUUGAACGCAGAACCAAUAAAAAAAAAAUAAUAAUAAAAAUGGGAGGUAGCCUGUAUCUCUUUCUGCCAUAAUUUUACCAAAAAGUUCUCAACACAGAUUUUUAGAAACUUUUCUGAUGAUAUCUAUGAUUUCCUUCUCUGCGUACUUUUCUUUGGUGUCUCUGUUUCUUUGGUAUUUCUGUAUUUUCUCCCCCAGCUUCUGUCAGAUCGGUCCCUCACUUCUGCAGUGACAUUCACCUGGCAGUGGAACUAGUUGCUCAAAUAAUUCAAUCUUACAAAUGUCUUGUGUUUUGGAUGGCAAUUUCAUGGCUGAACAAACCUCUGCAAGAGCUAUCCCCUCAUUCAAGAUAAAUAGACGAUAGCUGUGCUCAUUUGUCCCACAAACAGCAGAUGACUUGUUCUAUUUAUUUUUUAAUGAUGAUAAAAUAGAAUAUUCCUCCCAGAGUUUAGCACCACAGGAGACAUCAGAUAACUGACACAUGCAUACAACAGAAGUAACCAGUGGCUCAUGGCUAUUUAGGCCUGAAAGCAGUUGUAAAUCUCUAGGAGGGAUGUACAAUUAGACACUGUCUCUGUGCUUCAGAACACAUCCCUGGCUGCCACUUCAUACCUACACAUUGCCUUCGCCUCUAAAAAUAAGGGAUGAUAUCUAGCUAUUGUCUGCUCUUUCGGAUAGUUUUGAUGAUGACUACCUAACACAGAUAUAGUGAGAUUCAAUACCAAUCCUUAAUGGUACUUUUGCCUAUUUCAUCAUACAUGUCAGAAUUCACAUCGAUACGUAUUUGCUGUGAAUUUAUUUCAUCUUAUUUUCAACAGUUCUGUUGUGAAGGCAGAAGGAUAGCAGAUGAACAAAGGAAAACAAGCAGAUUAUAUAUUUUCCCCUGUUUACUGAGUACUGUGUAGGAACCUGCUUUGGCAGGGGGGCUGGACUCGAUGAUCUCUGGAGGUCCCUUCCAACCCCUACAAUUCUGUGAUUCUGUGAUCAGCUGGGUCAGACUUAUUGCAAAUUCAUUAAACGUAAAUGUCUGAUAUUCUUCAGAUGUUUCCCUAUCUUUUACAUUCUAAACAUACCCAGUUUACAGAAGCCACAAGUAGUUGCCAGCAAAGGUACAUGUUAGUUCCUUGCUCUCCUGCAGCAUUUUCUGUGCUGUCUGGCACUUCCAAGUUUUGUCUAGUUUGAGCAUCUCUCACAUCUGAGAGUAUUAAGUUAAUUUUGUGCAUACUGCCACCUGCUGUGGUUAACCAAAACUAAAGCUGAAAUACCAGUUUACUGGAUUUCAGUGUUUUCAUGCAGCAUAUAGGUGCCAACAUUUGCGUUCAGGUAUCCUUGCCCUAAAACUGAAAGAUUAUAUUAGCCUCAGCCUACACAUAUAAGCUGUAUGUAACAAGUAAAAAAGGUUUUUAUUGAAUUACUUCCUUGUUCAGUCAUUUAUCUUUGUGCAAGGCAUGCGUAAUUCCAUAUGUUACAUUACUGAACAUUGAACACAUGCUCAUGUUAGCAUGUUUAUGGACACACACACACAGUGGUGGAAUCGGGGCCUGGAGAAGAAAAAGAGGGCCUGGUGCCUGCCCUCAGGUCACUUCCAUCCAACUUCCCUAAUGUACCACGUGUCUGAGAGAAGCUGCUGUGCUACUAACGAAGCUGUAAGGCCACUAAGAUGAU